Molecule: unclassified non-coding RNA, 364 nt
Filed under: uncultured bacterium
Lineage: Bacteria
Description: contains 16S-23S intergenic spacer region
Source: RNAcentral
UCCCGGUUGGCCCGGGCAGUCUCGUUUGAAAAGUACAACAAACGACAAGGGUUGCGCUCGUUGCGGGACUUAACCCAACAUCUCACGACACGAGCUGACGACGGCCAUGCAACACCUGUCACCAGGUUCCCGAAGGCACAGCACUGUUUCCAGCGCCUUCCUGGGAUGUCAAACCUUGGUAAGGUUCUUCGCGUAUCUUCGAAUUAAACCACAUAAUCCUCUGCUUGUGCGGGUCCCCGUCAAUUCCUUUGAGUUUUAGCCUUGCGGCCGUACUCCCCAGGCGGCAGGCUUAACGCGUUAGCUACUCAGCCCAAGGGGUCGAUACCUCGAACUAAUAGCCUGCAUCGUUUACGGCGUGGACUAC